RNAcentral lists this ribosomal RNA (433 nucleotides) under uncultured bacterium. RNAcentral's name for it is "partial 16S ribosomal RNA". It matches the Rfam family "Bacterial small subunit ribosomal RNA", at positions 29 to 507 of the family's 1533-position model. The record is from RNAcentral.
AACGAACGCUGGCGGCAUGCCUAACACAUGCAAGUCGAACGAGACCUUCGGGUCUAGUGGCGCACGGGUGCGUAACGCGUGGGAACCUGCCCUUAGGUUCGGAAUAACUCCCCGAAAGGGGUGCUAAUACCGGAUAAUGUCUUCGGACCAAAGAUUUAUCGCCUUUGGAUGGGCCCGCGUUGGAUUAGCUAGUUGGUAGGGUAAAAGCCUACCAAGGCGACGAUCCAUAGCUGGUCUGAGAGGAUGAUCAGCCACACUGGGACUGAGACACGGCCCAGACUCCUACGGUAGGCAGCGGUGGGGAAUAUUGGACAAUGGGCGAAAGCCUGAUCCAGCCAUGCCGCGUGAGUGAUGAAGGCCUUAGGGUUGUAAAGCUCUUUUACCCGGGAUGAUAAUGACAGUACCGGGAGAAUAGGCUCCGGCUAACUCCGUG